RNAcentral lists this unclassified non-coding RNA (253 nucleotides) under uncultured Pseudobdellovibrionaceae bacterium. RNAcentral describes it as "uncultured Bdellovibrionaceae bacterium contains 16S-23S intergenic spacer region". It matches the Rfam family "Bacterial small subunit ribosomal RNA", at positions 524 to 776 of the family's 1533-position model. Lineage: Bacteria; Pseudomonadati; Bdellovibrionota; Bdellovibrionia; Bdellovibrionales; Pseudobdellovibrionaceae. The record is from RNAcentral.
UACAGAGGCCUCAAGCGUUGUUCGGAAUUACUGGGCGUAAAGCGUGCGUAGGUGGCGGUAAAAGUCAGAUGUGAAAUCCCUGGGCCUAACCCAGGACGUGCAUUUGAUACUUUAUUGCUAGAGUGUGAGAGAGGAAGAUGGAAUUCCAGGUGUAGGGGUGAAAUCCGUAGAUAUCUGGAGGAAUACCAAUGGUGAAGACAGUCUUCUGGCUCGCUACUGACACUGAGGCACGAAAGCGUGGGGAUCAAACAGG